This 202-nucleotide non-coding RNA is filed under the name Schleiferilactobacillus perolens. RNAcentral's name for it is "Lactobacillus perolens T-box sequence". It matches the Rfam family "T-box leader". Rfam says of the family: Uncharged tRNA acts as the effector for transcription antitermination of genes in the T-box leader family. T-boxes are found upstream of many aminoacyl-tRNA synthetase genes and some amino acid biosynthetic genes usually in Gram-positive bacteria. The record is from RNAcentral. Lineage: Bacteria; Bacillati; Bacillota; Bacilli; Lactobacillales; Lactobacillaceae.
UUAAAUGCGUCUAAAUUAGUAACUGUGACUUGUGUUUCAGAAAGGCUGCGGAUGAUGCGAGCAGCCACACCCCCACAGUGAACUCAUUAGAUAGGCAGUACAACUGAACGCAGUAGGUUGGACCGUGGGGUGCGUUAAACCCAAGAGUGCGUCAAUAAUUUGACGAACAAUAGGUGGCACCGCGGUAACAAUCGCCCUAUGG